This 60-nucleotide non-coding RNA is filed under the name Scrippsiella trochoidea. The record is from RNAcentral. Lineage: Eukaryota; Dinophyceae; Peridiniales; Peridiniaceae.
AGCCGCAUGCCUUGGCGAAUUGUAGGGUCCCGCUGGCCACUGAUGCGAGAAAUCUGCAGA